CGGGUAGACAGGCCAGCCCCGAUUGAAGUCUGGUCUUUAUGUUAAAAAGGUAAUAAUCAUCAUG
Molecule: non-coding RNA, 64 nt
Submitted as: unclassified sequences
Source: Rfam